UGGAGGAAGGUGACUUCAGUGAGAGGCCUAAGAAUUCAUCAAGGCAAGAAGAAGUGUUUAGGGGGACGAGGCAGGGGCCCCGCAUUGAUCGCCACGACCUACGGAGUGGUCCAGAUAAGUCAGGUGAAGUCCAGGGGCAGGUUGCACACCAAAGACCACAGGACAUCAAUACCUCUGUCUUAGAGGAGACAAGACCAAAGAUGGAUGCACAAGGCAGCAUCGAUCAUGGAGAGGAUGCGGGGCAGAUGAUACCAAGAUGAGAACAAAAACCUAAGGUGAGAUGGCCAGGCGCCACUGACUGUAAGGAGUGGACCUCUAAAAACAAUGACUUGAGAGGGAUUUUAAAUGGCCUGAAGGGUACGGCUGAGUCUAAGAUAAACCAACUGGGUGAGAUUAUAUACGACUAUGGGAAGAAGAGGUUUGAGGUGUUCGAGAAGAAGCGUAAGGGUGAGCAGAGCAUGUUAAGGUCAAGACGGCAGAUGGAAAUUGAGAGGUUGAUUCAGGAAAGAAGAGACUUAAAAAAGCUUUGGAAACGAGCAGAUGAGGAAGGUAGAAGUGGCAUUAAUAUUUUGCAGGAAGAAUUGAAACGUAGAUUGGUAGUGUUGAGGAGAGCGGAAAAGCUUAGAUUGAGGAGGAAGAAGAAGGAGCAAGCUAUGGUGGCAAUUUUUAAGGACCCAUUGAAAUUUGUGAAGUCCUUGCUUGAGCAAGAGAAGUCUGGUUGUUUAAAUGUUCAAAGGAGGGAGUUGGAGAGCUGUCUGCUGGAAAUGCACACCGAUGGUGAAAGUGAGAGGGUUUUUAAAGUCUUAACCGCUUGCCUCAUACAGGGUUGCAGGGAGCGUCGGCACGGUGCUUCUUGGGGAGAGGUGAAAGAAUCCAGGCUGGUGAGAGCUCCUGUGAUGAGCGCUCUGUGGGUUGCAGCUCCCGUGGAGCCAAGACAACACAGCCUUCUGCUUUUUGCUACACAGCGCUGUGGUGAAGCAAACACCACGUUUGAAUACAAGCAUGCUCAUAAGUGUAUUUGGUACCAGAGCUCCUUGGGCCAAAGGCCAACGAUCAACUUUGUAGUCGUUUCAUCUGGCUUGAGGAAAACAUGUUCUGGAAAACUUGGGUGAAGAGAGGUGCUGAGCUGUCAACCCAUCACCGUCUGGUGGUGAGCUGGAUCAGACGGCAGGGAAAACUGACAGACAGAUCCGGUAGGCCCAAGCGCAUAGUGAGGGCGUGCUGGGAACAAGCGUCAGAGGACCCUGUCCGGAAUGAUUUUAACUCCCACCUUCGUGAGAACUCCUCCCAUGUCCCGGAGGAGGUAGGAGACAUGGAGUCUGAAUGAAAAUUUGAUUUUAAAAGCUUUGCUAUGCCUACAUGCUUCUGUAAUAGAACGUUUAAGAAUGUUUAACUGCUCAAUAGCCUAUGCAAGAAAGCGGCACAUUCCAGGCUAUAGUUUGCUCUCUGUAUGUCCCCUUUUGUGCCAGCCUGUUCCCAUGAGAUAUCAGAGAAAUGUGGCUUACGCAGACUCACGUAAAGCCCAGAGGAUGUGUGUAACUGUUUCACGUAAGAAAGGAGAUCAACUGGUGACAGUGGACGUGUGUGAUGAGAGAUUGAGGGGCACAGUGACACGCCUGGAAUGUUCAAAAAAUAACAUGUAUUCUGCCUAUGCUUACAAAAAUCUGCCCUAGAAUAUGUAUAAAUAUCUGCUUGCCUGGCUGCUCUGGUGUG
Scleropages formosus (Asian bonytongue) is the source of this 1713-nucleotide long non-coding RNA. Lineage: Eukaryota; Metazoa; Chordata; Actinopteri; Osteoglossiformes; Osteoglossidae. The record is from Ensembl.